UACGAAGGGGGCUAGCGUUGCUCGGAAUUACUGGGCGUAAAGCGUGCGUAGGUGGUCUGUUAAGUCUGAUGUGAAAGCCCUGGGCUCAACCUGGGAAUUGCAUUGGAUACUGGCAGGCUAGAGUGCGGUAGAGGAUGGCGGAAUUCCCGGUGUAGCGGUGAAAUGCGCAGAGAUCGGGAGGAACACCCGUAGCGAAGGCGGCACUCUGGGCCGGUACUGACGCUGAGGAGCGAAAGCGUGGGGAGCAAACAGG
This 253-nucleotide ribosomal RNA is filed under the name uncultured bacterium. Its description in RNAcentral is "partial 16S ribosomal RNA". It matches the Rfam family "Bacterial small subunit ribosomal RNA", at positions 524 to 776 of the family's 1533-position model. The record is from RNAcentral.